Molecule: long non-coding RNA, 922 nt
Filed under: Coturnix japonica (Japanese quail)
Lineage: Eukaryota; Metazoa; Chordata; Aves; Galliformes; Phasianidae
Description: lncRNA (ENSCJPG00005015391.1)
Source: RNAcentral
GAAAAUAAAAUCACUGUUCUCCUUAAUGUCUGCACAGACUUUAAAGAUAACAGCUGUUUCUUUGUUUGCAGACAUCUGCAGAAAGCUAAGAGAAAUCUGAGUAUCCUGUGGAGAGCAACUUUCUGACUGAGUGGUACUUACUUGCUGCGCAGCCCUCCUGCUCUGAACCAUACAGACAGAAACAACGGGGUUGGAGCUGUCCUCCUGUGAAAUGCCUGGCUGGUGUGUGUGACAGGCCUUCAAAGGGCUGCCUCCAUGGGAAACGAGGUGAACUGGCUCACACAAGCAGCUCCAUCCUGCCUGUUGCAGUGAAAGUCUGUGUUGGAUGGACCAAAGAUCUCAUGGGCUAACAAAUCUCAUUGCAAUUAUGUGAGUUGCAACCCAUAGGAAAUUUUUCAUUAUAGCUUAAAUUGCCAUCACCUGAGCAGAGAUGUCUGUAUGAUCAACCAGCUGCACAAAGACUUGUGCUCAUCUGAGCUGUUAUAAAUCUGCUCAAGAAAUCCAUGCCUCAAGAGCAACUGAAGAAGUAAAGAUACUAAACAGGAGAUGAAACUGCCAAAAGAUGUUCCUGGUAUCACAGUGCAGCUGACAGGACUCAAAGACCACUGGAGAUACAUGAAGAUUCAAGGACUGAUUUCUUUACUAGAUUAGUUCCACAGAUUCCUGCAGUGCAGUCACACAGCUGAGAACUUCAGUGGAAAAUCUGUUGGGUUUUGUUUUUGGUGUUUUUUGUUUGGUUGGUUGGUUUUUUGUUAACAGUAAUCGUGCAGUCCUAUUCUGUUGAAUCCAGAGUGAAAUGUAUAAUAUGGACUGGAACAUGUAGACAGUAAGUUAUAUUUUGCUCGGUCAGUCUAAAACUCUCUUACCAGUGUAUUUUGAGGGGGGGCAUUUUAUCUGUAUGGCCAUGUCUAGAACCAUCUCU